AGGACGAACGCUGGCGGCGUGCUUAACACAUGCAAGUCGAACGGAAAGGCCCUUCGGGGUACUCGAGUGGCGAACGGGUGAGUAACACGUGGGUGAUCUGCCUCGUACUUUGGGAUAAGCCUGGGAAACUGGGUCUAAUACCGAAUAUGACCUUCCCUCGCAUGGGGGUUGGUGGAAACUUUUUUGGGUACGAGAUGGGCCCGCGGCCUAUCAGCUUGUUGGUGGGGUAAUGGCCUACCAAGGCGACGACGGGUAGCC
This 258-nucleotide ribosomal RNA is filed under the name uncultured bacterium. RNAcentral describes it as "partial small subunit ribosomal RNA". It matches the Rfam family "Bacterial small subunit ribosomal RNA", at positions 26 to 288 of the family's 1533-position model. The record is from RNAcentral.